This 1431-nucleotide ribosomal RNA is filed under the name Klebsiella pneumoniae. Its description in RNAcentral is "partial 23S ribosomal RNA". It matches the Rfam family "Bacterial large subunit ribosomal RNA", at positions 1531 to 2925 of the family's 2925-position model. The record is from RNAcentral. Lineage: Bacteria; Pseudomonadati; Pseudomonadota; Gammaproteobacteria; Enterobacterales; Enterobacteriaceae.
UCCAGGCAAAUCCGGAUAAUCAAGGCUGAGGUGUGAUGACGAGGCACUACGGUGCUGAAGUAACAAAUGCCCUGCUUCCAGGAAAAGCCUCUAAGCAUCAGGUAACAUCAAAUCGUACCCCAAACCGACACAGGUGGUCAGGUAGAGAAUACCAAGGCGCUUGAGAGAACUCGGGUGAAGGAACUAGGCAAAAUGGUGCCGUAACUUCGGGAGAAGGCACGCUGGUGUGUAGGUGAAGUCCCUGCGGAUGGAGCUGAGACCAGUCGAAGAUACCAGCUGGCUGCAACUGUUUAUUAAAAACACAGCACUGUGCAAACACGAAAGUGGACGUAUACGGUGUGACGCCUGCCCGGUGCCGGAAGGUUAAUUGAUGGGGUUAUCCGUAAGGAGAAGCUCUUGAUCGAAGCCCCGGUAAACGGCGGCCGUAACUAUAACGGUCCUAAGGUAGCGAAAUUCCUUGUCGGGUAAGUUCCGACCUGCACGAAUGGCGUAAUGAUGGCCAGGCUGUCUCCACCCGAGACUCAGUGAAAUUGAACUCGCUGUGAAGAUGCAGUGUACCCGCGGCAAGACGGAAAGACCCCGUGAACCUUUACUAUAGCUUGACACUGAACAUUGAGCCUUGAUGUGUAGGAUAGGUGGGAGGCUUUGAAGCGUGGACGCCAGUCUGCGUGGAGCCAACCUUGAAAUACCACCCUUUAAUGUUUGAUGUUCUAACGUUGGCCCCUGACCGGGGUUGCGGACAGUGUCUGGUGGGUAGUUUGACUGGGGCGGUCUCCUCCCAAAGCGUAACGGAGGAGCACGAAGGUUAGCUAAUCCUGGUCGGACAUCAGGAGGUUAGUGCAAUGGCAUAAGCUAGCUUGACUGCGAGCGUGACGGCGCGAGCAGGUGCGAAAGCAGGUCAUAGUGAUCCGGUGGUUCUGAAUGGAAGGGCCAUCGCUCAACGGAUAAAAGGUACUCCGGGGAUAACAGGCUGAUACCGCCCAAGAGUUCAUAUCGACGGCGGUGUUUGGCACCUCGAUGUCGGCUCAUCACAUCCUGGGGCUGAAGUAGGUCCCAAGGGUAUGGCUGUUCGCCAUUUAAAGUGGUACGCGAGCUGGGUUUAGAACGUCGUGAGACAGUUCGGUCCCUAUCUGCCGUGGGCGCUGGAGAAUUGAGGGGGGCUGCUCCUAGUACGAGAGGACCGGAGUGGACGCAUCACUGGUGUUCGGGUUGUCAUGCCAAUGGCACUGCCCGGUAGCUAAAUGCGGAAGAGAUAAGUGCUGAAAGCAUCUAAGCACGAAACUUGCCCCGAGAUGAGUUCUCCCUGAGACUAUAAGUCUCCUGAAGGAACGUUGAAGACGACGACGUUGAUAGGCCGGGUGUGUAAGCGCAGCGAUGCGUUGAGCUAACCGGUACUAAUGAACCGUGAGGCUUAACCUUACAACGCCGAAG